RNAcentral lists this ribosomal RNA (468 nucleotides) under uncultured bacterium. RNAcentral describes it as "partial 16S ribosomal RNA". It matches the Rfam family "Bacterial small subunit ribosomal RNA", at positions 28 to 507 of the family's 1533-position model. The record is from RNAcentral.
GACGAACGCUGGCGGCGUGCUUAACACAUGCAAGUCGAACGGAAAGGCCCUGCUUUUGUGGCGUGCUCGAUUGGCGAACGGGUGAGUAACACGUGAGUAACCUGUCCUUGACUUUGGGAUAACUUCAGGAAACUGGGGAUAAUAUCGGAUAUGAGCUCCUGCUGCAUGGUGUGCGUUGGAAAGUUUCGGCGGUUGGGGAUGGACUCGCUGCUUAUCAGCUUGUUGGUGGGGUAGUGACUUACCAAGGCUUUGACGGGUAGCACGCCUGAGAGGUGGACCGGCCACAUGAGGACUAAGAUACGGCCCAGUCUCCUACGGGAGGCAGCAGGGGGGAAUAUGACGCAAUGGGCGGAAGCGUGUUGCAGAAGCGCCGCGAGCGUGAUGACGGCCUACGGGUUGUAAACCGCUUUCGCCUGUGACGAAGCGUGAGUGACGGUAAUUGGUAAAGAAGCACCGGCUAACUACGUG